CUCAGAUUGAACGCUGGCGGCAGGCCUAACACAUGCAAGUCGAGCGGUAGCACAGAGAGCUUGCUCUCGGGUGACGAGCGGCGGACGGGUGAGUAAUGUCUGGGAAACUGCCUGAUGGAGGGGGAUAACUACUGGAAACGGUAGCUAAUACCGCAUAACGUCGCAAGACCAAAGUGGGGGACCUUCGGGCCUCAUGCCAUCAGAUGUGCCCAGAUGGGAUUAGCUAGUAGGUGAGGUAACGGCUCACCUAGGCGACGAUCCCUAGCUGGUCUGAGAGGAUGACCAGCCACACUGGAACUGAGACACGGUCCAGACUCCUACGGGAGGCAGCAGUGGGGAAUAUUGCACAAUGGGCGCAAGCCUGAUGCAGCCAUGCCGCGUGUAUGAAGAAGGCCUUCGGGUUGUAAAGUACUUUCAGCGGGGAGGAAGGCGAUAAGGUUAAUAACCUUGUCGAUUGACGUUACCCGCAGAAGAAGCACCGGCUAACUCCGUGCCAGCAGCCGCGGUAAUACGGAGGGUGCAAGCGUUAAUCGGAAUUACUGGGCGUAAAGCGCACGCAGGCGGUCUGUCAAGUCGGAUGUGAAAUCCCCGGGCUCAACCUGGGAACUGCAUUCGAAACUGGCAGGCUAGAGUCUUGUAGAGGGGGGUAGAAUUCCAGGUGUAGCGGUGAAAUGCGUAGAGAUCUGGAGGAAUACCGGUGGCGAAGGCGGCCCCCUGGACAAAGACUGACGCUCAGGUGCGAAAGCGUGGGGAGCAAACAGGAUUAGAUACCCUGGUAGUCCACGCCGUAAACGAUGUCGAUUUGGAGGUUGUGCCCUUGAGGCGUGGCUUCCGGAGCUAACGCGUUAAAUCGACCGCCUGGGGAGUACGGCCGCAAGGUUAAAACUCAAAUGAAUUGACGGGGGCCCGCACAAGCGGUGGAGCAUGUGGUUUAAUUCGAUGCAACGCGAAGAACCUUACCUGGUCUUGACAUCCACAGAACUUAGCAGAGAUGCUUUGGUGCCUUCGGGAACUGUGAGACAGGUGCUGCAUGGCUGUCGUCAGCUCGUGUUGUGAAAUGUUGGGUUAAGUCCCGCAACGAGCGCAACCCUUAUCCUUUGUUGCCAGCGGUUAGGCCGGGAACUCAAAGGAGACUGCCAGUGAUAAACUGGAGGAAGGUGGGGAUGACGUCAAGUCAUCAUGGCCCUUACGACCAGGGCUACACACGUGCUACAAUGGCGCAUACAAAGAGAAGCGACCUCGCGAGAGCAAGCGGACCUCAUAAAGUGCGUCGUAGUCCGGAUUGGAGUCUGCAACUCGACUCCAUGAAGUCGGAAUCGCUAGUAAUCGUAGAUCAGAAUGCUACGGUGAAUACGUUCCCGGGCCUUGUACACACCGCCCGUCACACCAUGGGAGUGGGUUGCAAAAGAAGUAGGUAGCUUAACCUUCGGGAGGGCGCUUACCACUUUGUGAUUC
This 1455-nucleotide ribosomal RNA is filed under the name uncultured organism. Its description in RNAcentral is "SSU rRNA". It matches the Rfam family "Bacterial small subunit ribosomal RNA". The record is from RNAcentral.